Molecule: ribosomal RNA, 207 nt
Filed under: uncultured bacterium
Lineage: Bacteria
Description: partial 16S ribosomal RNA
Rfam family: Bacterial small subunit ribosomal RNA
Source: RNAcentral
UGCGUAGGCGGGUUUCUAAGUCAGAGGUGAAAGCCUGGAGCUCAACUCCAGAACUGCCUUUGAUACUGGAAGUCUUGAGUAUGGCAGAGGUGAGUGGAACUGCGAGUGUAGGGGUGAAAUUCGUAGAUAUUCGCAAGAACACCAGUGGCGAAGGCGGCUCACUGGCUCGAUACUGACGCUGAGGUGCGAAAGCGUGGGAAGCAAACA